GAGGAUGUUAAAAAUGAUAAUGAGGGAGAGCGCAUGCCUCGCAUGCAUGAGGUCAGGGGUUCGAAUCCCCUUAUCUCCACCA
RNAcentral lists this transfer RNA (82 nucleotides) under Thermoanaerobacter ethanolicus subsp. thermohydrosulfuricus. RNAcentral's name for it is "Thermoanaerobacter thermohydrosulfuricus tRNA_Ala_CGC". It matches the Rfam family "tRNA", at positions 15 to 71 of the family's 71-position model. Rfam says of the family: Transfer RNA (tRNA) molecules are approximately 80 nucleotides in length. Their secondary structure includes four short double-helical elements and three loops (D, anti-codon, and T loops). The record is from RNAcentral. Lineage: Bacteria; Bacillati; Bacillota; Clostridia; Thermoanaerobacterales; Thermoanaerobacteraceae.